CAUAUAUGAUAGGAUCCAACAAUUGCAUGUGGCAAGCAUAGGAAACUCUUUGCCAGUAUCAGCAUGUCUUCAGCAUCACUGCCAUAAGCUUUGAAUGACUUAUUCUGUUUUAAAGUGUUUCACGUGAAUGUAAUAAACUGUAAUGAUGGUUAAUAAAGUUGGACUCCUAACUGUGACCAUCUAAAGUCAGACAUCUGGUCUAAGGUAGGCACCUGUGCCCUCUACAUUCAAUAAAAUUAACUUUGAAAGCAAGUCAUCCCAUUUAGCUUAGGCCAUUAUCUUAGGGGUGGCAUGAAUUGCCCACAGGAGGUGUGUAACUCUAUUGCCUCCAAAGAAAGUCUUGAUUGCAAGUAUGAGCUAUAUAAGAAGCUACCCCAACUCUGUCCCCACCUUCUCUUCAUAAAUGUUUGCUUUUAUCCCAGGAAACUUGGAACUUCCUCUCUCAGAUAAAUUGCUGCAUUAUGACCAAAAAGUGUUUAGUGAAGUUAGCAAAAAAGCUCUUGGAAUAUCAGAAGUCACAUGAGCUCUCUGGAUUGUGGGGCCAAGCAGAGGAAGAAAGGAAAGAAGAAGGAGACUCAUUUUGCAAGAUGGGAUGGAACAUGUCUUUGAGAGGCAUCUGAUACAAUCUGAAAGAUAAUUUAUCUUGAUCUUUACUGUCUUGGAAAGAAGACAUUUAAGUAAAUAUUACAUGAUGGGGACUGUACCUCUGUCAUCCAGCGACCUCUCAAAUGUGUAGAUGAAUUUUUUAAAGCAUGCCAACACUUUUAAAGGGAAAAGUGUCACCACUGAUCAUCGCUGAUGCCUUCUAUAUUUGAAAGGGUUGACCAGAGUUGGGAACUACUGUGUGGUAAAAGAUACUACUGUAUCACUUAAAGCUUGAUGAAAGAACACCAGAAAAAUAAAUAAAUAAAUAAAUAAAAAUAAAAAGUAUCAUGCAUAGAAAAAACAAUUAUUUAUUGAAUGUCAGAAGUCCAGUGCAAUAACCGCUCGUUCAGUGCAACUGGCAUUUACAAGGUGCCAUUAGAAUUAUAAUGGGAAUUUCAGAGUUUGGUGCAAGAGAACGAAUUCUACAAUUGGUAUUUCACUGGCCAAGUAAGCUUGAUGGAGGUUAGAGAUAGUAAAAUAUCAUCCUGAAAUAUUAAUAUAUCCAUUAUAAAUCCAUGGUCCCUAAAUAAUGUAACCAAAAUGUAUAUGACUUCGUAUAGUGUGUGAUCUCUUCAGCAAUGCUCUCUGAUGUGUAUUUGGAAACCAAUAGUUGCUGUUAGCUCUUUUUACUAACCUAGUUUUGCCUUUUUCGUUUUAUAGAUAUGAUUCCAUCUUGAAAGACAAAAACUCAGAAAAGUUCAGCUAAUUUGUUUUCAACCAGAUGCCAUAUUUUUUCCUUUUAAACCUGCAGGCUUGUUGUGACUUACCAAUGAAAUAGUAUGUGAUACUCCUUCAUAAUAUACAAUUUUAGCACAGACUGUUUAUCAUUACAGUCUGUCUUCUCCUUAAUGGCACCCAGCAAGAUUCAGCUCCAGACAUGUAAAUGAAGUGUCUGCAUGUAAACUGGGCACCUUAGCUCCCAGUACAGACCAUGGAGCAAAGUCAGUGAGCCUAGGCCAGAGGACAGCUUUUAAGAUGGAUUUAACUGCUUCAACUUAGCCUGCUGGUGACAUCAGAGAAACUCUUGGGUGUCAGCCUCACUUCCAGCAGUCACCACAGGAUGCCCGAGGUCUCCUAUAGCUCCUGUGAUAUAUCUGACAGCCCCAUGGAGCCCCAUUAGCUUUCGCAUUUGUCUUUUAAAUUCUCAGGGGCACAAUGGAUACCACAUCACCGUUUUUGACCAUUAUGACAUGAAGGUUUUGCUCCAUGACAGAGUUCUGAUAACCAGGGCUGAGGUAGAGACAAGAGAUGAUGAUGUGAAUGUUAACAACCCUCCCACCUCCAGUUUGAGUAAUUUUCUUCUGGAAAAUUCUGCAAAGGUACAGUACAUUGUUUAUUUUGUUUAUCAGCUAAGUAAAUUACUUUUCUUAACUGGGAAGGAGUGUUUUUCCUCCCUGACUGCCCCCUAAGUAUUUACAUACCUAAGCACAUUCAAGAAUCCAGAACUCACAUUCAGUUCUAGGUCUCUGACUCUGAUUCCUGGUGUUACAUCAGAAUCAUAGCUUUCAUUACGAAUAAAUAAGUAAAUAAAUAACAACAAAUACACACACACACACACACAAAAAAAAAUGUCUUAGUCAUGACAGGUUCUAGGCAAGGAAUUUGGACAUAUAAUCCCCAUGUAGUCAGUGCAGGAAUCCCAGUUAGCAAAAGACAUGUCAAGCCCCAGCUAGAGAAAGUACCCUAAGGAGAGCAGGAAUCAUCCUGACUCUCCUCCUGCACCCAGCUCCAGCAUAUGGGUAACACUUCAGAAA
Long non-coding RNA from Oxyura jamaicensis (ruddy duck), 2399 nucleotides. RefSeq lists it as uncharacterized. The transcript has 5 exons. NCBI's taxonomy places the organism in Eukaryota, Metazoa, Chordata, Aves, Anseriformes, Anatidae. The record is from RefSeq and is a predicted model, not a curated record.